GACGAACGCUGGCGGCGUGCUUAACACAUGCCAGUCGAACGGAAAGGCCCUGCUUUUGUGGGGUGCUCGAGUGGCGAACGGGUGAGUAACACGUGAGUAACCUGCCCUUGACUUUGGGAUAACUUCAGGAAACUGGGGCUAAUACCGGAUAGGAGCUCCUGCUGCAUGGUGGGGGUUGGAAAGUUUCGGCGGUUGGGGAUGGACUCGCGGCUUAUCAGCUUGUUGGUGGGGUGGUGGCUUACCAAGGCUUUGACGGGUAGCCGGCCUGAGAGGGUGACCGGCCACAUUGGGACUGAGAUACGGCCCAGACUCCUACGGGAGGCAGCAGUGGGGAAUAUGGCACAAUGGGCGGAAGCCUGAGGCAGCAACGCCGCGUGCGGGAUGACGGCCUUCGGGUUGUAAACCGCUUUCGCCUGUGACGAAGCGUGAGUGACGGUAAUGGGGAAAGAAGCACCGGCUAACUACGU
This 467-nucleotide ribosomal RNA is filed under the name uncultured bacterium. Its description in RNAcentral is "partial 16S ribosomal RNA". It matches the Rfam family "Bacterial small subunit ribosomal RNA", at positions 28 to 506 of the family's 1533-position model. The record is from RNAcentral.